AUAAGGGCGCACGGAGGAUGCCUUGGCACUAGGAGUCGAAGAAGGACGCGACAAACGGCGAAACGCCUCGGGGAGCUGUAAGUGAGCAUUGAUCCGGGGGUAUCCGAAUGGGGAAACCCGCUAGUGGUUAUACGCUAGCACCAUAUGGUGAAUACAUAGCCAUAUAGGAGACAGACCCAGGGAACUGAAACAUCUAAGUACCUGGAGGAAAAGAAAGAAAAAUCGAUUCCCGUAGUAGCGGCGAGCGAAGUGGGAAGAGCCCAAACCGGAUUUAUCCGGGGUUGUAGGACCUUCAUAAUUGACAAAUCAUGAUAGCCGAAUGGUCUGGGAAGGCCAACCGUAGGGGGUGAGAGUCCCGUAGGUGAAAUUGUGAAAUGCAUGGAAGGAAUCCUGAGUACGGCGGGACACGUGGAAUCCCGUCGGAAUCAACGAGGACCAUCUCGUAAGGCUAAAUACUACCUAGUGACCGAUAGUGAACCAGUACCGUGAGGGAAAGGUGAAAAGAACCCCGGAAGGGGAGUGAAAGAGAACCUGAAACCGUGUGCCUACAAAUAGUCAGAGCCCGUUAAUGGGUGAUGGCGUGCCUUUUGUAGAAUGAACCGGCGAGUUACGAUAUCGUGCGAGGUUAAGCAGAAGAUGCGGAGCCGUAGCGAAAGCGAGUCUGAAUAGGGCGAAGAGUACGAUGUUGUAGACCCGAAACCGUGUGAGCUAGCCAUGAGCAGGCUGAAGGUCAGGUAACACUGACUGGAGGGCCGAACCAGGGCACGUUGAAAAGUGCUUGGAUGACUUGUGGCUAGGGGUGAAAUUCCAAUCGAACACGGAUAUAGCUGGUUCUCUCCGAAAUAGCUUUAGGGCUAGCCUCGAUGUUAAGUCUACUGGAGGUAGAGCACUGAAUGGGUGAUGGCCCCACCUCGGGGUACUGAUCUCAAUCAAACUCCGAAUGCCAGAUAGAUAUAAUCGGGAGUCAGACUGUGGGUGAUAAGGUCCAUGGUCAAAAGGGAAAGAGCCCAGACCGCCAGCUAAGGCCCCCAAGUGUCCGUUAAGUGGAAAAGGAUGUGGAGAUGCACAGACAACUAGGAGGUUGGCUUAGAAGCAGCCAUCCUUUAAAGAGUGCGUAAUAGCUCACUAGUCGAGUGACUCUGCGCCGAAAAUGUACCGGGGCUAAACGGACCGCCGAAGCUGCGGAUUGACUUUAGAGUCAGUGGUAGGAGAGCGUUCUAACAGCGGUGAAGCAGUACCGGAAGGAGCUGUGGAGCGGUUAGAAGUGAGAAUGCCGGUGUGAGUAGCGAAAGAUAGGUGAGAAUCCUAUCCAUCGAAAGCCUAAGGUUUCCAGGGGAAGGCUCGUCCGCCCUGGGUAAGUCGGGACCUAAGGUGAGGCCGAAAGGCGUAGCCGAUGGACAACAGGUUGAUAUUCCUGUACCACUUAUUAAACUGAUGGAGUGACGGAGAAGGCUAAGUUGAGCGUGUGAUUGGAUUCACGUGUAAGCAGUGAGGUGGUCAUGUAGGCAAAUCCGCAUGGCAUAACAUUGAGCUGUGAUGCCGAAGCCGAAUGGCGAAGUCAACUGACGUCACGCUUCCAAGAAAAGCUUCUAGGGUUAAUUUAAUAAGUGCCCGUACCGAUAACCGACACAGGUAGGCGAGGAGAGAAUCCUAAGAUGAGCGAGAGAACUCUUGUUAAGGAACUCGGCAAAAUGACCCCGUAACUUCGGGAGAAGGGGUGCUUGUGAAAGCAAGCCGCAGUGAAUAGGCCCAGGCGACUGUUUAUCAAAAACACAGGUCUCUGCUAAACCGCAAGGUGAUGUAUAGGGGCUGACGCCUGCCCGGUGCUGGAAGGUUAAGAGGAGAGGUUAGCGCAAGCGAAGCUUUGAAUUGAAGCCCCAGUAAACGGCGGCCGUAACUAUAACGGU
This 1907-nucleotide ribosomal RNA is filed under the name human gut metagenome. RNAcentral's name for it is "bacterial LSU rRNA". It matches the Rfam family "Bacterial large subunit ribosomal RNA", at positions 12 to 1949 of the family's 2925-position model. The record is from RNAcentral.